RNAcentral lists this ribosomal RNA (650 nucleotides) under Escherichia coli. Its description in RNAcentral is "bacterial SSU rRNA". It matches the Rfam family "Bacterial small subunit ribosomal RNA", at positions 874 to 1520 of the family's 1533-position model. The record is from RNAcentral. Lineage: Bacteria; Pseudomonadati; Pseudomonadota; Gammaproteobacteria; Enterobacterales; Enterobacteriaceae. RNAcentral also lists the same sequence under 1 other name.
CGCCUGGGGAGUACGGCCGCAAGGUUAAAACUCAAAUGAAUUGACGGGGGCCCGCACAAGCGGUGGAGCAUGUGGUUUAAUUCGAUGCAACGCGAAGAACCUUACCUGGUCUUGACAUCCACGGAAGUUUUCAGAGAUGAGAAUGUGCCUUCGGGAACCGUGAGACAGGUGCUGCAUGGCUGUCGUCAGCUCGUGUUGUGAAAUGUUGGGUUAAGUCCCGCAACGAGCGCAACCCUUAUCCUUUGUUGCCAGCGGUCCGGCCGGGAACUCAAAGGAGACUGCCAGUGAUAAACUGGAGGAAGGUGGGGAUGACGUCAAGUCAUCAUGGCCCUUACGACCAGGGCUACACACGUGCUACAAUGGCGCAUACAAAGAGAAGCGACCUCGCGAGAGCAAGCGGACCUCAUAAAGUGCGUCGUAGUCCGGAUUGGAGUCUGCAACUCGACUCCAUGAAGUCGGAAUCGCUAGUAAUCGUGGAUCAGAAUGCCACGGUGAAUACGUUCCCGGGCCUUGUACACACCGCCCGUCACACCAUGGGAGUGGGUUGCAAAAGAAGUAGGUAGCUUAACCUUCGGGAGGGCGCUUACCACUUUGUGAUUCAUGACUGGGGUGAAGUCGUAACAAGGUAACCGUAGGGGAACCUGCGGUUG